Molecule: regulatory RNA element, 94 nt
Organism: Microbacterium hydrocarbonoxydans
Lineage: Bacteria; Bacillati; Actinomycetota; Actinomycetes; Micrococcales; Microbacteriaceae
Rfam family: Glycine riboswitch aptamer
About the family: This family represents the bacterial glycine riboswitch. Glycine riboswitches usually consist of two metabolite-binding aptamers domains with similar structures in tandem.
Source: Rfam
AUGACGUGUGCGGGAGAGCCCGGUGCACACAGCCGGGCGCCGAAGGAGCAAGCCUCCCCGCCAAUCUCUCAGGCACCCCCACCGCUCACGUCCG